This 669-nucleotide ribosomal RNA is filed under the name uncultured Burkholderia sp. RNAcentral describes it as "bacterial SSU rRNA". It matches the Rfam family "Bacterial small subunit ribosomal RNA", at positions 34 to 700 of the family's 1533-position model. The record is from RNAcentral. Lineage: Bacteria; Pseudomonadati; Pseudomonadota; Betaproteobacteria; Burkholderiales; Burkholderiaceae.
CGCCCUUCAGGCCUAACACAUGCAAGUCGGACGGCAGCGCGGGGGCAACCCCGGCGGCGAGUGGCGAACGGGUGAGUAAUACAUCGGAACGUGUCCUGGAGUGGGGGAUAGCCCGGCGAAAGCCGGAUUAAUACCGCAUACGAUCUGAGGAUGAAAGCGGGGGACCGCAAGGCCUCGCGCUCAAGGAGCGGCCGAUGGCGGAUUAGCUAGUUGGUGGGGUAAAGGCCCACCAAGGCGACGAUCCGUAGCUGGUCUGAGAGGACGACCAGCCACACUGGGACUGAGACACGGCCCAGACUCCUACGGGAGGCAGCAGUGGGGAAUUUUGGACAAUGGGGGCAACCCUGAUCCAGCAAUGCCGCGUGUGUGAAGAAGGCCUUCGGGUUGUAAAGCACUUUUGUCCGGAAAGAAAACUUCGUCCCUAAUAUGGAUGGAGGAUGACGGUACCGGAAGAAUAAGCACCGGCUAACUACGUGCCAGCAGCCGCGGUAAUACGUAGGGUGCGAGCGUUAAUCGGAAUUACUGGGCGUAAAGCGUGCGCAGGCGGUGAUGUAAGACCGAUGUGAAAUCCCCGGGCUUAACCUGGGAACUGCAUUGGUGACUGCAUUGCUGGAGUAUGGCAGAGGGGGGUGGAAUUCCACGUGUAGCAGUGAAAUGCGUAGAGAUGUG